RNAcentral lists this ribosomal RNA (228 nucleotides) under uncultured bacterium. Its description in RNAcentral is "partial 16S ribosomal RNA". It matches the Rfam family "Bacterial small subunit ribosomal RNA", at positions 568 to 795 of the family's 1533-position model. The record is from RNAcentral.
AGUGUAGGCGGCUAUUUAAGUCGGAUGUGAAAGCCCCGGGCUCAACCUGGGAAUUGCAUUCGAAACUGAAUAGCUAGAGUUUGGUAGAGGUAAGUGGAAUUCCGGGUGUAGCGGUGAAAUGCGUAGAUAUCCGGAGGAACACCAGUGGCGGAGGCGGCUUACUGGACCAAAACUGACGCUGAGGCUCGAAAGCGUGGGGAGCAAACAGGAUUAGAUACCCUGGUAGUC